This 253-nucleotide ribosomal RNA is filed under the name uncultured bacterium. RNAcentral describes it as "partial 16S ribosomal RNA". It matches the Rfam family "Bacterial small subunit ribosomal RNA", at positions 524 to 776 of the family's 1533-position model. The record is from RNAcentral.
UACGUAGGGGGCUAGCGUUGUCCGGAAUCAUUGGGCGUAAAGCGCGCGUAGGCGGCCAGAUAAGUCUGGUGUGAAAGUCACAGGCUCAACCUGUGAAUGCCGCUGGAAACUGUCUGGCUAGAGUCCGGAAGGGGCGAGUGGAAUUCCUGGUGUAGCGGUGAAAUGCGCAGAUAUCAGGAGGAACACCAAUGGCGAAGGCAGCUCGCUGGAACGGUACUGACGCUGAGGCGCGAAAGCGUGGGGAGCGAACAGG